GUUAGUGGCAAUAAUUGGCUCUAAUGAGCGUAAAUCAGAGUUAUAGUUUAAAGUGUAUCGAUACCUGUGAGAGUGGGGAAAUUUACACCCCAGUGUAUCAUAGUAUUAUAUUAAUACCUAUAUGCAAGUUGGUUAGGUUGAUGUGGAGAGGAGCAAUUAGAUUUGAGAGCCCUCUCACUUCUGUAUGUACAGUAUUUAGUUUUGUAUUUUGAUGAGUCAAUGUCACUAGUUGUGUUUCAUUUGUAAUCAUCAAUGGCCCCUGUACCUAAAUUAUUAUAACUGCCUCCUUGUGUCUACAAUGAUAUAGUGAAAUUUGCAUGUGUACCAUACUUAACCAUUGAGUUUAUCCGUGGUGGGGAAGUACAGACUAGUGUGGUGUAGAACGCACAUAGUUCAUUUGACACGCAAAUACCGAUGAGAGGGAGGUUUGGAACGCAUCAGUUCAUUCUGAUGCGGAAACCGGAAAUAGAGGCCCAAGUAGGAGCGAGGUAUGGAACGCAAGUAGUUUAGACAUUGACACUCAUUCAUGGUACACGACCGGAAGUGACGCAGCUGGCGUCCUGAUCCGGUGCGUGUAUCAACACAUGGAAGGAGGCAUAUAUAAGGAGCAGGUGUGCUCCGCAUAGAUGCCGCCAGCCUGGAUCGGAGUCUGGUAUGGUCAUUAUCUGUACCCGGAUCAUAGUGGAGGGUAGACCUUAAGCAAGCAGGGGAGUUUGACCUGUGUGGAUUUGUGGCAGUCAGGGAUAUAUUGAGCCUCUCUGCAGUGAAGGAUAGGAAGUGUGAGAAUUAUUAUUGGCUACAUAGUCCCUCACAUGGAGGAAACCUAUCUUUAAAGGUAAUGUUGUAUUGUCACAUUACUUGGUACUUAAUUGUAUAUUAUUAUGGGGUCUUACUGACGAGUGGUCCAUCCAUCUUUAGUGUGGAUUCUGUGGGAGCUAUAACAGUACCUUGGCUAUCAUCAGUGUACACACACGGAGGUAAUUUGAACGUAAAGGCACAUUUGAGUUCAUAUGCAAUUUGAAUUGAUAAAUUAUAGUUCAUCAAUUUAUAUUAUUGUAUUUUCUCAAGUUAAUAGGGGCCAUUGCUGAGGAAGAAAAUAAUUGUAUUUAAUAGCUUAUUUCAUAUCAUAUGGGCACUCUUUGAUGUACUUUGAUAUUCAGGUACUUUUCAAAAUUAUUCUAUUCUCUGUGUCUAAUUGUCUUUGUAUUUGCAUUCUGCUAUCUGGUUUCUUUUGCU
Molecule: long non-coding RNA, 1236 nt
Organism: Hyla sarda
Lineage: Eukaryota; Metazoa; Chordata; Amphibia; Anura; Hylidae
Exons: 3
Source: RefSeq, a predicted model, not a curated record